GGCAAGGUGGCCGAGCGGUCUAAGGCGCUAGGUUAAGGUUACGUAAUCAAAUUACUAAAUCUCCUAGUCUGGGAAACUGGGCGUGGGUUCGAAUCCCACCCUUGUCA
Arachnomyces sp. PD_36 is the source of this 107-nucleotide non-coding RNA. The record is from the annotation of a GenBank genome assembly. Lineage: Eukaryota; Fungi; Ascomycota; Eurotiomycetes; Onygenales; Arachnomycetaceae.